GCCAUCUGUCGUUGGGCCGGGAAAAUCGAGCCUGCCUCAUUGUUCCCGGAAAGGCCGCAGCCAAGUCACAAGAGAAGUGUACGUGUUCAAGCUACACACCAUGGCCGAGCCGAGCGACACGACUUUAACUUUCUUCACGAAGGCGACGCCGAGUCAGUGGAGUUACGUGCUGUCCCUGUACAAAGAAGUGCUCAAACAGAAAGCCGCACUGCGCACCAAGAAGGGAGGCCCCGAGGAACUCAUCAAGCUCGACGCCUGGUACCAGGAGCAGCUUCCCAAGACCAUACAGGCACGCAAAGACAAGCAUCUCGUUCAUGAAGAGCUUGUUAAAAUAAUGAAGUGGAAACUAAUGAGGGGCAAGUAUCGGCCGCAACUGUUGGACCUGGUGCGCAUCAACACAGAGCUGGCCGUGAAGUCGACGAGCAAGAAGGCGUUCCGCAAGCUGCCCAACCUGUCGGGCGCCAUCACAGCGCUGACCAACCUGAAGGGCAUCGGACCGGCCACGGCAUCAGCCAUCCUGGCUGCGGCUUUCCCUGAGCAAGCACCCUACAUGGCUGACGAGAGCAUGCUGAGCACGCCGGGCGUCGAGGCCACAGAUUACACCCUGGCCGAGUACCUCAACUACGCUGAGCGCAUCAAGACCUGCACCGAGCAGCUUGCACAGAAAGACCCCAACAGCACGUGGACACCGCACAAGGUAGAGCUGGUUCUCUGGGCACACUACGUGGCACGGGAGUUGAAGCCGUCACUCCUAGACGACCUUUCCAAGUACAAGGACUCCGUGCCAUCCGCCAAUGGCAACGGACCCUCCGCCACCACCACAUCAAGCGACACGGCGGACGACCACCACAACGUUGCCUCCAAUGGCGCGGCCGAGGACGCGCCCCUGUCGUCGCCCUCGGACUCGCGGUCCAGCGCAGACCUUGCCCAGGUGACGAACGACGAGAGCUCCAGCCAGGACGGACCGGCGGAAAACAAUGGAGCGGUGCCGACGGUGGGAGCUGGCGAGUCAGCCGAAGACGACAGUUCCUCGUCGGCCAUCAUUGCCGCGGACGACGCGGUCGUGCCAGAUGUGACAGCGGGGAAAGGAGCCAAGCGGGACCUCGAAGACGAGGAGUCUGCCGAGAGCGACAAGAAAAAGGCGCGGGCGUGAGACUUUGCCAUCGUGCCCCCCCGUCCCACCCACCCCUCCUCACCGCCUGACACCACCUUUUGAUGAAGAGAGAGAGAGGACUUGUUUAUUUCUCACCUCCCACGUUCCCUUGUCCCCAUAUCACUGACUUUUUUUCUUCAUUUUGUUCUACCUCUUCUAUUCUGACCUUUCUUCACCUUUGUAGUAUCUUUCCGUUAAACUUAUCUGUAAUGUGAUUGUGUUACGGUUCUUUUCUACUGGCUUCUUCUUCCGUUGUUUCCCAUCCAAUUUUCUCGUCACUACUUCAAUCUUUUCUUUUUCUCCCUCCCUCCUUCAUUUAGGAAAGAAGCUCACUUUUCAUUUAACCUUCUUUCCUUCGCCCUUCAUGUACUCUUGCUCCCCACCCUUCCCUUUUUUUUUUCUUUCCAUCACCGCUUUUAGAUCUUGUCAUCCUGACCUCGGCGUGUGAAAUGUUUGCCACAACAGGCAUCGGGAUGCCGCGGCCGCUGCGUCCGUUUUUUCUCGCCAGGAUGUCAACACCCUAGGGACCUUUAGUCCUCCGGCCAGGCGCUCUUCCUUGUUCAGAACUGUCGAGCACUGUGCAGGUGGCUUUUUUUUUUUUUUUUUCCUUGUUGUAUGUCACUACCAUCUCUAAGAGUUGGUCAAUAUAAAGAAAAUGAAAUUGGGAAACCAGCAACCACCCUUGGCUCUCUUAUUACUACCUCUGGUGACAACGGCUGCAAUCUUUUGGGAUACGUCUGCGGGAACAUGCGCACUUUCUUACAAUGCCCAGUAAAGAGAGAUGGAAACGCUAACAGCUUAUUUUUAAGAGCGCCAUUGCAGCGUGUGAACGCUGGGAUAUCUGUAGACAUUAGGGACAUGGGGAAGAAUCUUGGUACACGUUUAGUCUUCAUUCAGUUCUUGAACGUUCUGUUUUGGCUCGCGCGCUUUGUCAGAAGCCAUUUGUCAGACCGCUGCCGUCCGGCCAAUCACUUGAACGCAAACGAAAUGUGUACAAGAUUUGUCCCAUGUUUAGAAUGUCUUGCGAUGCUUGUAAGGAAAAUGUGGCGCUGCUGUUGCGGAGCUUCCUUUAUUUAAGGCAUCGUUGCAGUAGGAAAGUGAUGGGAUGUGGGAGGCUUAUUAGUAUAUACUUUUGGAGUGUUGUGUGGUUAGAAAAAGAAGUGCUUUGUCAGAAAUGAGCUUUCCUAAGCUGUAAUUCUGCGUACUACAUGUAUGCUUGCUCUCCUGUGAUACGAGUAAAUAAGGAAAAUAAAAAUUUUGGAAUUGGCA
Molecule: RNA transcript, 2422 nt
Organism: Rhipicephalus sanguineus (brown dog tick)
Lineage: Eukaryota; Metazoa; Arthropoda; Arachnida; Ixodida; Ixodidae
Gene: Amun
Exons: 5
Source: RefSeq, a predicted model, not a curated record